RNAcentral lists this long non-coding RNA (282 nucleotides) under Linum usitatissimum (flax). RNAcentral's name for it is "long non-coding RNA (LUSI_LNC001371)". The record is from RNAcentral. Lineage: Eukaryota; Viridiplantae; Streptophyta; Magnoliopsida; Malpighiales; Linaceae.
GUAAUUAAGGCAAGGGGAGAGGCUCACAAGCGUGCUCGUGCAGCCAUUGGACUGCGCCGUGGCUCCUGUCGGAAACAGAGCCGUCCCGACGACGGCGAGAGAGAUGACCAGAAUUGACAAAUUCCUAAUCACGGCCAUGAUUAAGGUGAUGGAUGUUUGCUGAUGGGUUUUGGUCUUUUUUCAAGUGUGUUGAUGUUGGUUUUGGUUGUGGGGGAAUAUGUUUGGAGAUGGAGUACGUAGUGGGUUUAUAAAGGGAUCGAAAGUCGGAGACUUUAUUGUGGC